UGACUAGUAGUAGUGGAGUGUCUUGUU
Molecule: non-coding RNA, 27 nt
Filed under: Homo sapiens (human)
Lineage: Eukaryota; Metazoa; Chordata; Mammalia; Primates; Hominidae
Source: RNAcentral